RNAcentral lists this ribosomal RNA (279 nucleotides) under uncultured bacterium. RNAcentral describes it as "partial 16S ribosomal RNA". It matches the Rfam family "Bacterial small subunit ribosomal RNA", at positions 506 to 784 of the family's 1533-position model. The record is from RNAcentral.
UGCCAGCCGCCGCGGUAAUACGGAGGGUCCGAGCGUUAUCCGGAAUCAUUGGGUUUAAAGGGUCCGCAGGCGGUCAAUUAAGUCAGAGGUGGAAGCCCAUCGCUCAACGAUGGAACUGCCUUUGAUACUGGUUGACUUGAGUUAUACGGAAGUAGAUAGAAUAAGUAGUGUAGCGGUGAAAUGCAUAGAUAUUACUUAGAAUACCGAUUGCGAAGGCAGUCUACUACGUAUAUACUGACGCUGAGGGACGAAAGCUAGGGUAGCAAAUGGGAUUAGAUA